Molecule: ribosomal RNA, 468 nt
Filed under: uncultured bacterium
Lineage: Bacteria
Description: partial 16S ribosomal RNA
Rfam family: Bacterial small subunit ribosomal RNA
Source: RNAcentral
GACGAACGCUGGCGGCGUGCUUAACACAUGCAAGUCGAACGGAAAGGCCCUGCUUUUGUGGGGUGCUCGAGUGGCGAACGGGUGAGUAACACGUGAGUAACCUGCCCUUGACUUUGGGAUAACUUCAGGAAACUGGGGCUAAUACCGGAUAGGAGCUCCUGCUGCAUGGUGGGGGUUGGAAAGUUUCGGCGGUUGGGGAUGGACUCGCGGCUUAUCAGCUUGUUGGUGGGGUAGUGGCUUACCAAGGCUUUGACGGGUAGCCGGCCUGAGAGGGUGACCGGCGACAUUGGGACUGAGAUACGGCCCAGACUCCUACGGGAGGGAGCAGUGUGGAAUAUUGCGCAAUGGGCGGAGGCGUGAGGCAGCAACGCCGCGUGCGGGAGAACGGCCUUCGGGUUGUAAACCGCUUUCGCCUGUGACGAAGCGUGAGUGACGGUAAUGGGUAAAGAGGCACCAGCUAACUACGUG